RNAcentral lists this small nucleolar RNA (80 nucleotides) under Corchorus capsularis. Its description in RNAcentral is "snoRNA snoR128". It matches the Rfam family "small nucleolar RNA snoR128". The record is from Rfam by way of RNAcentral. Lineage: Eukaryota; Viridiplantae; Streptophyta; Magnoliopsida; Malvales; Malvaceae.
UUGCUAUGAUGAUUGAUAAAAUUUUUGAAUAUAUUAUGAAACGUCGACAACCAUGUCGAUCUGAGCGGUUACCUGAGCAA